This 253-nucleotide ribosomal RNA is filed under the name uncultured bacterium. RNAcentral's name for it is "partial 16S ribosomal RNA". It matches the Rfam family "Bacterial small subunit ribosomal RNA", at positions 524 to 776 of the family's 1533-position model. The record is from RNAcentral.
GACGUAGGGCGCAAGCGUUGUCCGGAUUUAUUGGGCGUAAAGAGCUCGUAGGCGGCCUGUCGCGUCGACCGUGAAAACCCGCAGCUCAACUGCGGGCUUGCGGUCGAUACGGGCAGGCUGGAGUUCGGUAGGGGAGACUGGAAUUCCUGGUGUAGCGGUGGAAUGCGCAGAUAUCAGGAGGAACACCAAUAGCGAAGGCAGCUCGCUGGGACGUUACUGACACUGAGACACGAAAGCGUGGGGAGCAAACAGG